CCAAGUGCGAGGGCAUAUUAACCCUCGCUUUUGUUGACUGUAAGGUGGUCGACGAAUAAGAGCUGGGCAGGACCGGUGCCGGCCGCCGCGGUAUUACGGGCGGCUCAAGUGAUGUCCCAUAUUAUUGGGCCUAAAGCGUCCGUAGCUGGCCGACCAAGUCUCCCGGGAAAUCCACCCGCCCAACGGGGGGGCGUCCGGGAAAAACUGGCCGGUUUGGAACCGGAAGGCUCAGAGAGUCCGUCCGGGGUAGGAGUGAAAUCCCGUAAUCCCGGACGGACUACCGAUGGGGAAAGCACUCUGAGAAGACGGCUUCAACAGUGAGGAACGAAAGCUCGGGUCUCAAACCGGAUUAAAUACCCGGGUAGUCCGAGCUGUAAACAAUGCUCGUUAGGUGUGGCACCCACUACGAGUGGGUGCUGCGCCGUAGGGAAGCCGCUAAACGAGCCGCCUGGGAAGUACGUCCGCAAGGAUGAAACUCAAAGGAAUUUGACGGAAA
Molecule: ribosomal RNA, 496 nt
Filed under: uncultured bacterium
Lineage: Bacteria
Description: bacterial SSU rRNA
Rfam family: Archaeal small subunit ribosomal RNA
Source: RNAcentral